Molecule: ribosomal RNA, 499 nt
Filed under: Papiliotrema laurentii
Lineage: Eukaryota; Fungi; Basidiomycota; Tremellomycetes; Tremellales; Rhynchogastremaceae
Description: eukaryotic LSU rRNA
Rfam family: Eukaryotic large subunit ribosomal RNA
Source: RNAcentral
UGGCGUCCUCAGGGCGUCCGAGUUGUAAUAUAUAGAGGCGUUUUCCGUGCCGGACCGUGUCCAAGUUCCUUGGAACAGGAUAUCAAAGAGGGUGACAAUCCCGUACUUGACACGACGACCGGUGCUCUGUGAUACGUCUUCUACGAGUCGAGUUGUUUGGGAAUGCAGCUCAAAAUGGGUGGUGAGUUCCAUCUAAAGCUAAAUAUUGGCGAGAGACCGAUAGCGAACAAGUACCGUGAGGGAAAGAUGAAAAGCACUUUGGAAAGAGAGUUAAACAGUACGUGAAAUUGUUGAAAGGGAAACGAUUGAAGUCAGUCGUGACCGAGAGGCUCAGCCGGUUCUGCCGGUGUAUUCCCCUCGGUCGGGUCAACAUCAGUUUUGUCCGGUGGAUAAGGACGGUAGGAAGGUGGCACCCUCGGGUGUGUUAUAGCCUGCCGUCGCAUACAUCGGGUGAGACUGAGGAACGCAGCUCGCCUUUAUGGCCGGGGUUGCCCAGUCG